CGGGAAGGGAGCACGGUCGCGCCCCUUUGGGGGUGAGGAAAGUCCGGGCACCGGAGGGCAGGGUGCCAGGUAACGCCUGGGCGCCGCAAGGCGACGGAAAGUGCCACAGAAAGCAGACCGCCGAUCCGCUCCCCUCGGGGAGGUCAUGGAGGCAAGGGUGAAACGGUGGGGUAAGAGCCCACCAGCGCUCCGGGAGACCGGGGCGGCUCGGUAAACCCCACCCGGUGCAAGGCCAGUUAGGCAGGAAGGGCUCGCCCGGCCCGAUCGCACCUGCGGGUUGGCCGCUCGAGGCCGGCGGCGACGUCGGUCCCAGAUAGAUGACCGUGCACGACAGAACCCGGCUUACAUCCCUUCCCACCCC
Non-coding RNA from Oceanithermus profundus DSM 14977, 361 nucleotides. It matches the Rfam family "Bacterial RNase P class A". Rfam says of the family: Ribonuclease P (RNase P) is a ubiquitous endoribonuclease, found in archaea, bacteria and eukarya as well as chloroplasts and mitochondria. The record is from Rfam. NCBI's taxonomy places the organism in Bacteria, Thermotogati, Deinococcota, Deinococci, Thermales, Thermaceae.